Molecule: long non-coding RNA, 5093 nt
Organism: Centrocercus urophasianus (Greater sage-grouse)
Lineage: Eukaryota; Metazoa; Chordata; Aves; Galliformes; Phasianidae
Exons: 7
Source: RefSeq, a predicted model, not a curated record
AAAAAAAAAAAGAAAGAAAGAAAAGAAAGGGGGCAAUUCAGGUUUCUUGCAUUGACCCUACCCAGCUCUUCACAUUAUAUAAGCUUGCACAUGGUUAUGAAACCACACAACCUUCCGUGCUGCCAGCACAGCCUGAAGCAGGGAAGAAGCCCUUGUGAUUAUUAUCCAUGCAUUUGUGUGUCUCUUGUGGGUGAAACCACUGGGUUUCCUUGAAAAGAUUUAAUGAAAAGCCUCCUAAACAUUCUCAUCACCCAGCAGCAUGAAGGGGUAGCAGCCUGUCACAGGACCCUGUCUGUAGGUUCAGUGCUGCAGGAACCCCAUGGCCACAGCCUCAGUCAGGGGUCUCCUCAUACCCCUGAAACUCCAGCCUGUCCCUGGCCACGUGGCAGUGUGCCUGCUUUGUCCUCGCUCAUCUCUGCACCUGCACCCUGCUAACACGUGUCCACAACGGACAAACGAGAACGAAGCGUUAGCUCAGCGUUUCUUCAUUUUGUAGCCAGGGAGACUCCUGGGUUUUCUCCCUAAGGACGGUUCUGGUGCAGCAGCCUUCCUCUCUUGCUGGCACCAGGGCAGAGGCUCUGGGAUGCUCCCAGGCAGCCACUGGGGCUCUUGCAAACACAGAGAUGUUUUUAGAAGGUUUUACCUUUCAGCCUAACCGAAAUGGCAUACUCGGAGACCCCUCGUACUCCUACGGUCCCUCGUAGCAGCAAGGAGCAAGGUGUUGCACGCUGGCCCCACAGCAGCCCCCAGCGGUCUGAGUUCCCCAGUGCAGUACAACCCGACCCACCGCAGCCACCUGUGGCCCGCUCCUCGGCGGCCAUUUUCCUGCAGCCACCUGUGCUCCUCAAUGCAAUGCACCUGGAGCGCCGGGUCGGCCAUCUUGUGCGGUGCUAAGUGGGGCUGGCAGGGAUCGUCUGCUCGUCUGGCGGCUGAGCAUCGUGCGCGGAAAGCAAAAUUACACCAGGUUUCAGCUUUGCCCUUGUAAGCAGGAAAGUACCAGCUUACUUGUCUCUCCUAUUAUAAACUGAACUGAUUUCAACUUUGGCUUGUGAUGCCUCUUUUUAAUGAAGUAGUGGACUCAGCUCUUGUGGGCAAAUCAUCAUUGAUAAGGAGAGAAAAAGAGACACCAUAUGUGAAUUUUCAACUGUCAUCACAGAGAAGAAUUUCCAUCAGUACCUUAAACGGAAGUUGACUGGAAGGAAGCCACAGCAGUAUGUUAAGAGUUUUCAGUGGGGCAGGUCUGAAAGACACAACAAAAAAUGUUUCAUUUGGAAAACAUCAUAAGGACCUGCUGUAGGAUUGCCAAAGUAAACUGUUUCAUUCUAGAGGAGGUCGAAGUGAAACAUCUGUCAGUCUGGUAAUCUUUGUGUCCUUCCACUGAAAAAUGGAGCCGAUGGGAAGGUACAGUUCAGCAAGCAAAGAAAAGGAAAUUCUCCCUCUUCUCUUAACUAUUUCUGAAAACUGAGCCAUCAUACUGAAGAGCCUGAUUCGCAGACUUAGUGGGAAUUACGCCUGAGCCAGGUAGCAAGAAAAGUUCCAUGGAAGACAACAUCCAAGUCAAACAAUUUCUGUAGGUCUGGGUUUGAAAUCCUCACCCUGCAAGUCUUAACUUCAGCCAUCAGCUAACUCAGUUUCUGGUCUUAUUAAAACAAGAUGAGAAGAAGAAAAACAGCCAGGCACCUCCCUCCCACUGCUGCAAUCCUCUGCUUAGGUCAAGUGACCGAAUAACACUGACAGGCUAAAAGAAGAAUAAGUAGUAAAUACACUGUGCUCACCAACACAAGUCAUCUUGGCCAUGUCCAGGUGAUAACCAUCAAAGCAGUCGCAGGUGUAGCCUUCCUGGACUCUCACACAUCGGCCAUUUUCACAUCCGUUCAGAAUACCACACUCCUCUGCUUGUAACUCCUCAAAGCUGUUCAGAAAACCUGAGCGAAGAAAGAAUUACCAACAAGCCUUAACAGGAAGCUGGGCCAGAUCCAUCAACAGCCUGGACAUUCCUGAAGGACAUCUGAGAUGUUGUACACAAUCCCUCACAUCCUGCCUGCAGCCAUUCCUGAAGGUUGUAUGCAUGCAUACUCUCUGAUCAUCCUUUCUGUAGUUUCACUGCAGAGAGAGAACAGCUUGCGCGCUCUCCGUUUCUUCCAUCUGAAUUGUACUGGAAAAUCAUGAAGUACUGGCAUGGAGAAAUCUCUCCUGAAAAAAUCAUGGCGAUAUUCUACAGAAUAUGGAAUCUAAUGUGAAAGCCUUCUCUGACAGCAAAGCAUACUGAAGUUAACAAAAAUACAGUGCUUCAAAAAUUUACACGUGGAUGGACAGCUUCAUCUUACCAGUUCCAAAGACAGGGCAUGGGAAGAUUUCACAGUUAUCACCCCAGCCAGCACCCAAAGUACAGCAGCAUUCUUGUUUGGUUACAUUGGACGCAAGCACGUUGUCACAGAAGUUAGCAUCGUUCAGAUUGUAGUAGCACUCCUUCUUUCCAUCUUCAUGUUGAUCAGGCUCUAUUGGCAAUUCUAAAAGUGAAGAGAACAUCUGUGUAAGAUGUUAGGUGAAAUAAAUAGAUUUGUUUUACAGGAGAGUCAUGUGAGUCAUGGUUCUGAAGUCACCACAGUGAAGAAUAGUGUUGCCUGGUUGAGAAGAAAAUAGCUACAAAUUCUGUUUUCACCUUUUUGUUCUUGGGAAGAAUGAUGGGAGUUCAUAACUGUUCUUUUUCAGACCCAUUCUGAAAUUUUUCAUACUUGCACUUCCUUCACUUUCAAGCAGAUCUAUCUGCUGUCACGGCUAACUAUCUAGCUAUCAUGCCCAACGCUGUGCUUUUCAUGUAUGAACAUUGAUGCCCUUCACACACAUGACCAAACAUUACACAACCUCAUUUUACAGAUAAAGAAGGUAAGGCAUAAACUGGAAAGAACUGAUUCUCCAAAGAAUGAACAUUUCCUUUUGAUUUUACUGGGGAAAAAAAAGCACAGUCCAUAUUUGAAAACAAAGCCCUUUAAGAUUUUGGCAAAAGUAAUCGUGCAACUCUGCAGCAAGCAGAGGAAUAUAAUACAGAUGUUGAGUUAACUGACUCUGCAUUUUACUUUAAAAUAGGCUUUACAGGCAUCCAGCCAAGAAAUAGUAUUUUUUGCCCUUUGCAGUUGAGUGGGUCCUCUCCUACUAUAUAUACACAAGGACUUGAGGAAAAACACUCUUUCCCAUAGAUCCAAUAAAAGACAUUAACAGUCAAAAACUUUUAAAAGCAAGGCACUUAAGUACGCAAAGGAGUGAGUUUGAAAAGAAAUACAUAGUUUAAGCUUCUAUAUUUUCAGAAUCCUGUCCAUCUAACCUUGCACUUGCAUAAAAGUUCUCUUCAAGAGCUCAGUAACAGAAACUAUCACAUAAAAUUGUUAAUCACACUUGAUCAAUAUGACAAACUCUUCAUGUGCCAUCUGUAAGGUAACUGAACAGCUCACAUUUAUUAAUCAAAACAAAAAUUUUGUUCUUUAGUUUUAGAUAAGCCCUGAGAUGAUUUGUACACUCCAUUUUCUUCUUGUGAAAUGCCUCAUGCCUAGCACUUAGUUUAGAAAUACUGAAAUUCAUAAAAACACACUACAAAUAAUUGCAUAUUGAUUGAUUUUCCACUGUUUGAGAUUUCAUCUGUUUCUUCUCAGUCUGUUGCACAAUUUGCCAAGCGGCAGAGAACUGUCAAGCAAUGUAUCCAGGUGGGAAUUAAAACUCAAGAAGAUACUCAAGGCUGCCAGCGUACAAACUCAUUGUGUAGCUGGGAGAACCACGUACACUUGACCAGUGCCUGUUUGCCCCUUUUUCUGGCCGUCUCACAGAGGCAACGCUCAGCCUCUUCGCACAAGUUACAGGAUGCAUCUUUUUCCUUGUCCCCCUCACAUAAGAAGAAAUGGCUGUGAGGUGGGAUCUCAAAGGCAGUGAUUGCCCAACAGAUGCUGAACGAACUCCAGCUCAGUACCUAAAACCCGUCCUGCCUUCCCGGUAGGAUGCAAGCAGGUGAGACAAGGCAGCUUUAUUGAGCAUGCAAAUAACAGAUUCAUUUUCAAAAAAGCAGUAAGGAUUGCCUGUUACUGCAGUCUAAUAGUAUGAACGUGUGUAAUAGUUCUUUUGGCUUCUCAUUCCAAACAGACAAUUAGAUUUAUUUCUAUUUUCCUCAGAAAAGCGCCCGUGUCUGUUUUUGGAGCUUGAGGAGCUGGCAGACUCCUCUACUCAAAUGUAGUACAAUGUUGCCACCUACAAGGCACAUUUUCCUUUGCUCCUUUGCCAAUAUAAGUAAGUUGUACAUUAAAGGAAACACCCAGCUGAGUGCUUAUUUCAUCUUUGUUAGUUUAGUCUGUGGUCUCCCCUCAUCAGAUAAUUACAAUUUUCCAUAAUGUGCUGAAUUUCAUAAAGUACGGUGGUUUUGUGGUAUCAGCUCCUGUCCAAUAGGAGCCAAGUUAAGACUAUCGCGUGUCACAGAAACUAGGGAACUGAAUUUGUUAUUCCAAGGUGAGAGAGCAGUACUUGAGCUACCAAAUUAUACAUUUUCUUUGGCUGUCUGCCAUCUGUCUAACUGAAUCAAAGCCAAAAGCUUUUAGCAGGAGAAAAUGCAUGGCACUUUUCACGCUGUUUACCAGAGAAAGAACACCAGAAGCUGCCCCAAGAGGGAGGGGAGACAAUCUCAUGGUGUGAUUGUUUAUUCCCAUUUUACAUAUGAUGUGUUGGUUUUUCCUCCCAUUAUCUGUUCAGCAGCUUAAAGGUCUGUUGUUUACACAGCUGUGUCUGAGGGUUAGUCAAGCAGGCUUCAUGAAUGUUUGGAAAGCAAAUGAGACACAAGUUUUAUUAUUAUUAUUUUUUUAAAUCAAGAUGAGCCUACGUCUACAAGCUUCUAAUUUCUUUCAUACACUAUUAACCAUUUAGUAAACAGGCUGUUUUUGAAAGUGGUUUCAGCAAGUAUUUGGACCAAAUAUUAUAGGAAAUGGACUUGCUAUUUCAUACUGUUGCUUGUUUUGUGUUUUUUGCUGUUGCUAGAAAAUGUAAAAUAUCCCUCUAUCUAAGGCACUCAGGUAAAGUAAUUUUAUCAGGUUGAUACAACUGUUAAAUUAGCAGCCUGG